AUCACCCAAUCCGUGACGGGAAGGAGGUGUUAUCAUUGCUUAAUUUUUUAAUCUUGUUGUUUGUUACUAUCAUGGCGAAUGUAAUUAGCUACUACAUUUGCAAAUGGCUAGAUAGUAACAAUAAAUAGUGACUAGCCAAAGUCGUUACUUUUAGACGACAAAGAAAAAGCACAGGGCGGCAACCCUGUGCUUUUUUUGGUGUUAUCAA
This 208-nucleotide small RNA is filed under the name Veillonella sp. oral taxon 780 str. F0422. RNAcentral's name for it is "Streptococcus sRNA SpF66". It matches the Rfam family "Streptococcus sRNA SpF66". Lineage: Bacteria; Bacillati; Bacillota; Negativicutes; Veillonellales; Veillonellaceae. The record is from Rfam by way of RNAcentral.